GACGAACGCUGGCGGCGUGCUUAACACAUGCAAGUCGAACGGAAAGGCCCUGCUUUUGUGGGGUGCUCGAGUGGCGAACGGGUGAGUAACACGUGAGUAACCUGUCCUUGACUUUGGGAUAACUUCAGGAAACUGGGGCUAAUACCGGAUAGGAUCUCCUGCUGCAUGGUGGUGGGUGGAAAGUUUCGGCCGUUGGGGAUGGACUCUCGGCUUAUCAGCUUGUUGGUGGGGUAGUGGCUUACCAAGGCUUUGACGGGUAGCCCGCCUGAGAGGGUGAACGGCCACAUUGGGACUGCGAUACGGCCCAGAAUCCUACGGGAGGCAGCAGUGGGGAAUAUUGCACAAUGGGCGGAAGCCUGAUGCAGCAACGCCGCGUGCGGGAUGACGGCCUUCGGGUUGUAAACCGCUUUCGCCUGUGACGAAGCGUGAGUGACGGUAAUGGGUAAAGAAGCACCGGCUAACUACGUG
Molecule: ribosomal RNA, 468 nt
Filed under: uncultured bacterium
Lineage: Bacteria
Description: partial 16S ribosomal RNA
Rfam family: Bacterial small subunit ribosomal RNA
Source: RNAcentral